GUCCAGGAAAAUAUGACGAUAUUAGAAUAUGCACGUAAGUUCCUAGAGCUGGGCCGAUAGUCCCCGGAGACAUUGAUGGAUGAGGGCAGGAAGGCCAGGAGAUUCUAGUGGGGCCUCCGCCCAAAGAUCAAGCAACACUUAUUGGUACUGGAGCUCAAGACAUACUCAGCCGUUCUAGUAAAGGCGCAGAUUGUGGAGAGGAAUUUCAACACACGUCUUCAGUCAGUAGGGAGUCACCGACCCUCAGCUCCACCCCACAGACCAGCACCUACUGCGCCGGUCCAACCAAAUAAGAGGCCCAGAUUAAUGAUCCAGGCCCCUCCUCAGGCUCUAGGGGUAGCACGUGGAAAGAUCUGCCAGCACUGCAGCAGGGAUCACGGGGACCGACCAUGCUAUCGCCUCAACAACACCUGUUGCAUAUGUGGUAGUGCCUAACACUAUGCGAGAGAGUACCUGAGGAACCAGAACUAAGGAAGAUAGGGUUUACACCCUCACCCAGUAGGAUGCUGACGCCGACCCGGACGUUGUACAGGGUAUGUACACUAUUUGUGAUUAUAUUGCUCAUGUAUUAUUUGACACUGGUGCAUCUCAUUC
This 594-nucleotide long non-coding RNA is filed under the name Carica papaya (papaya). Its description in RNAcentral is "long non-coding RNA (CPAP_LNC001718)". The record is from RNAcentral. Lineage: Eukaryota; Viridiplantae; Streptophyta; Magnoliopsida; Brassicales; Caricaceae.